CCCGGCGGCACUAGCGCGGUGGUCCCACCUGACCCCAUGCCGAACUCAGAAGUGAAACGCCGUAGCGCCGAUGGUAGUGGGGUCUCCCCAUGUGAGAGUAGGGAACUGCCAGGC
This 114-nucleotide ribosomal RNA is filed under the name Klebsiella pneumoniae. The record is from RNAcentral. Lineage: Bacteria; Pseudomonadati; Pseudomonadota; Gammaproteobacteria; Enterobacterales; Enterobacteriaceae.